Molecule: long non-coding RNA, 232 nt
Organism: Saccostrea cuccullata (small rock oyster)
Lineage: Eukaryota; Metazoa; Mollusca; Bivalvia; Ostreida; Ostreidae
Exons: 3
Source: RefSeq, a predicted model, not a curated record
AUGGUACAUACGUACGCGUGGGUCACAGACAAGGUGUCAUUGAAUAAAAUCCUGAUUGCCUUGGGGAGUGUUCGGUGUUUUAUAGAGCGUCACAUGACCGAUAAUGGCUUUAUAAACUCGUUGCCGCAAGGUUUCGCUAGUGAUUUGGAACGAACGAAGGCUGCUAGUGGUUCAGGCAUCAAGAGGAAUCAGCUACAUCUUGGUUCUUUUCUAGCAUCUUCUUUAAUGCGCC